AGCAUAUCAAUAAGCGGAGGAAAAGAAACCAACCGGGAUUCCCUCAGUAACGGCGAGUGAAGCGGGAAGAGCCCAUCGCCGAAUCCCGGGCUUUUGGACGGGUCCGGGAGCUGUGGCGUAAGGGACCGCGCAGUCGGCGGCGGGCCGUCCGAGCAAGUCCCGCGGGACAGGUGUGCUCCCAGAGUGGGUGUGAGGCCUUUGGUUCGGACGGGGCCCGCUCCGGCGCUCCGCGGCUUCCCGAGAGUAGAGUUGUUUGGGAUUGCAGCUCAAAGCGGGUGGUAAGCUCCAUCUAAGGCUAAAUACUGGCACGAGUCCGAUAGCGAACAAGUACCGUGAGGG
Molecule: ribosomal RNA, 339 nt
Filed under: Cellana tramoserica
Lineage: Eukaryota; Metazoa; Mollusca; Gastropoda; Nacellidae
Description: eukaryotic LSU rRNA
Rfam family: Eukaryotic large subunit ribosomal RNA
Source: RNAcentral